AACAAAGAAGAAAGGAACAAGGAAAAAAAGAGGAAAAAGGCAAAUGAAGUGAGCGAAACAGUGAAUGUUGGGAUGUACAUCCUCCCUCCUCCUUCUGCUUCCACUUC
RNAcentral lists this non-coding RNA (107 nucleotides) under Paramoeba aestuarina. The record is from RNAcentral. Lineage: Eukaryota; Discosea; Flabellinia; Dactylopodida; Paramoebidae.